This is a ribosomal RNA of Oreochromis aureus, 119 nucleotides long. Lineage: Eukaryota; Metazoa; Chordata; Actinopteri; Cichliformes; Cichlidae. The record is from Ensembl.
GCUUACGUCCAUACCACCCUAAGCACGCCCACUCUCGUCUGAUCUCGGAAGCUAAGCAGGGUUGGGCUUGGUUAGUGCUUGAAAGGGAGACCGCCUGGGAAUACCAGGUGCUGUAAGCU